GGAAAGAGAGGAAGAGUGGUACUGGGAAGAGAAGAAGAGUGGUACUGGAAAGAGAGGAAGAGUGGUACUGGAAAGAGUGGUACUGGUAAGAGAGGAAGAGUGGUACUGGGAAGAGAAGAAGAGUGGUACUGGAAAGAGUGGUACUGGUAAGAGAGGAAGAGUGGUACUGGGAAGAGAGGAAGAGUGGUACUGGAAAGAGAAGAAGAGUGGUACUGGGAAGAGAGGAAGAGUGGUACUGGAAAGAGAAGAAGAGUGGUACUGGGAAGAGAAGAAGAGUGGUACUGGGAAGAGAAGAAGAGUGGUACUGGAAAGAGAAGAAGAGUGGUACUGGAAAGAGUGGUACUGGGAAGAGAAGAAGAGUGGUACUGGGAAGAGAGGAAGAGUGGUACUGGAAAGAGUGGUACUGGGAAGAGAAGAAGAGUGGUACUGGAAAGAGAAGAAGAGUGGUACUGGGAAGAGAAGAAGAGUGGUACUGGGAAGAGAAGAAGAGUGGUACUGGAAAGAGUGGAAGAGUGGUACUGGGAAGAGAAGAAGAGUGGUACUGGGAAGAGAAGAAGAGUGGUACUGGGAAGAGAAGAAGAGUGGUACUGGGAAGAGAGGAAGAGUGGUACUGGAAAGAGAGGAAGAGUGGUACUGGGAAGAGAGGAAGAGUGGUACUGGAAAGAGAGGAAGAGUGGUACUGGAAAGAGGAAGAGUGGUACUGGAAAGAGAGGAAGAGUGGUACUGGAAAGAGAGGAAGAGUGGUACUGGGAAGAGAGGAAGAGUGGUACUGGGAAGAGUGGUACUGGGAAGAGAAGAAGAGUGGUACUGGAAAGAGAGGAAGAGUGGUACUGGGAAGAGAAGAAGAGUGGUACUGGAAAGAGAGGAAGAGUGGUACUGGGAAGAGAAGAAGAGUGGUACUGGGAAGAGAGGAAGAGUGGUACUGGAAAGAGAGGAAGAGUGGUACUGGGAAGAGAAGAAGAGUGGUACUGGAAAGAGAAGAAGAGUGGUACUGGAAAGAGAGGAAGAGUGGUACUGGGAAGAGAAGAAGAGUGGUACUGGAAAGAGUGGAAGAGUGGUACUGGAAAGAGAAG
Oncorhynchus tshawytscha (Chinook salmon) is the source of this 1073-nucleotide long non-coding RNA. Lineage: Eukaryota; Metazoa; Chordata; Actinopteri; Salmoniformes; Salmonidae. The record is from Ensembl.